UGAUUGCUGCUUCUAAGGCCAGAAU
Molecule: non-coding RNA, 25 nt
Filed under: Mus musculus (house mouse)
Lineage: Eukaryota; Metazoa; Chordata; Mammalia; Rodentia; Muridae
Source: RNAcentral